UAACACGACUAGCCAAGUCGAACGGGGUCGUUAGUGUCGGAAGUUUCGGUAUGGAAGGAUUAAGACUAGUGGUCGGACGGGUGAGUAACGCGUGGGUAACCUGCCCUGGUACAGGGGGAGUAACGAGUUGGAACGGACUGCUAAACCGCAUAACAUGGAGAUACCGCAUGAUAUUUCCAUCAAAUAGUUUAUAGGUACAGGACUGGGCCCGCGUCUGAUUAGCCAGUUGGCAGGGUAAUGGCCUACCAAAGCGACGAUCAGUAGCCGGCUUGAGAGAGUGACCGGCCACAUUGGGACUGAGACACGGCCCAAACUCCUACGGGAGGCAGCAGUGGGGGAUAUUGCACAAUGGGGGAAACCCUGAUGCAGCGACGCCGCGUGAGUGAAGAAGUAUUUCGGUAUGUAAAGCUCUAUCGGCAGGGAAGAAAAGGCGCGCGAGCGCCCUUGACAGUACCUGACUAAGAAGCCCCGGCCAACUACGUG
This 483-nucleotide ribosomal RNA is filed under the name uncultured Lachnospiraceae bacterium. RNAcentral describes it as "bacterial SSU rRNA". It matches the Rfam family "Bacterial small subunit ribosomal RNA", at positions 49 to 507 of the family's 1533-position model. The record is from RNAcentral. Lineage: Bacteria; Bacillati; Bacillota; Clostridia; Lachnospirales; Lachnospiraceae.